Saccostrea cuccullata (small rock oyster) is the source of this 295-nucleotide long non-coding RNA. RefSeq lists it as uncharacterized. The record is from RefSeq and is a predicted model, not a curated record. Lineage: Eukaryota; Metazoa; Mollusca; Bivalvia; Ostreida; Ostreidae. The transcript is spliced from 3 exons.
AUUCUCAUUUUACUACGACUACCACACGCAUGUUUUGUCAGUAAGAUCUGGACAUACUUGUUACCUGUAUAAAACAAGUUCCCAGGAACAGAUGGACAUUCAUUCGUCACAUGGACUUCAUACAAUCGAGAAAAAUGUGAUCGAUAUCAUCGACUCCAAUCCGACUAUGGUCUCCAUAACACACGAUGAACUUGUUGCCAUGUAUUCAUCACAUGGACAUGUAUGUAACUCAAAGCGUUACACUACUAUUUAUCAGAUCAACUAGAUGUAUCAUCAAAUAAUUGGACUCCAUUCA